Gasterosteus aculeatus aculeatus (three-spined stickleback) is the source of this 1918-nucleotide long non-coding RNA. Lineage: Eukaryota; Metazoa; Chordata; Actinopteri; Perciformes; Gasterosteidae. The record is from Ensembl.
CAAAAGUGGCCUCAGAGCCUCGUUAUCGAUGCGCGUCGGUCCGGGCGACACGACAGAUACUGUAAAUUACGCUGAAUCCUAAAAGUCUUGCAUAGGUAACCAAUACGUUCCAUCGCGGUUGUGUAAAAAUCCAGGAAAUGUCUUACAGUUUGAAUGUUUAGCACACGGGGACCAUUUGCUCAUUGGACUAAUGUAACUUUGUUUGACUGACGCUGUGCCGAUUUGAGUCGGUUGAUAAGCUGUUGGUAGGUGCACUGGGAAUAUACACGGUGAGACGUGCACGUUGUCACUGGAAGGCGACUCACACGUUUUUAAUUAGUGACAAUAGAACGUGCAGCGCAGAUGCAUCCUUACUAUCUAACGAUAUUGUCGUGUACUUUAAAUGCAGUGUGUAAGUACACGUGUUGCAUUUCCUCUCCUGUUUAUGGCUUUGUUUGUCUGAAGAUGACCAACGCGUUUGGUACAGAAACGCCGGCGUGCUGUGAUGGGAGAAGGUAGACGAAGCCGGAGGUCCCGGCUUAUCGGGCACAGCGACACGUUUUAUUUCUGCUGCACGGCACGAUUCAUUUAGUAAAUGACUCCAUUCAGAGUGUGAAUCCCUUGUGAUUGACACGUCGCCAGGAGAGCACAAAACGCCUCGGCGGUAACGGACAAAACCGCCAAAGUGGAGGCUUCCACUUCCUAUACGGUCCGCUGAGUCGCACUGCUUCCUCAAAGCCACGCGUUCGCGUAACGCGGUGAAGCCCGCUGUCCUCCUUCCACGGCCGCAGUCUGACCUCUGACAUGGAGGACAAGCGCCGCGGUUGCCUUGUUUGUGUGCGUGCGCGCUAUUGAUCGAUAGGCGACCUCUUUCGGUAUCGAUGGAGGGACAGAGCCGCGGACAAAUGGCUCGAAGCACAAAGAGGGGAUCAGGUUCCCGUCGCAUCGGUCCAAGAGAGUCGCAGCAGUUGCCACAGUUGUGGGGUUUCUCGCGUCGUGAAGGUGUUUUGAUUAACGCCCUCGGUAUUUAAACCAUUUUAUCUGGGGUGGUAGACUAAAACAAGUUUGAUUCACUUGUUAAUUGUUUAAUUAAUUGUUCUAUGGCCAAUGUGGCGUAAUAUGUACCAACCAUUGGAUCCACUUUUGGCCCCUGAUGGUGUGUCAAGACAAGGCGCCAGAAGCCAAAGCCAGAAUUCACCUUUUGUAUUUUCCUACUUCGCCACUUUUUGGUUUGUGGAAUUAGAAUGUGUCUCGGAAAAUGGCUUUUAGUGGUAAUUAUUCAAACUUCCUCAGGUCAUGAAAAAGAAAAUGUUACAGUACGGUUGCCCUUUAAAAAAAUCUCGUUUUAGCAGUUUGUGGCAUUUUGAGGGAUCGAUUUGCUAAAAUGGAAUAGAAUUUGAAUAAGUAUGUGUUUUAUUUGUAUACAAACCCUGAAUCUAAGGAAGGUGUUGGCGGUGGUAAAGGACAUGGCCUAAAACUAACUUAUUUGCUUCCUGGGGAGACGGAGGUUCAUUUAGAAGAUGUGUUCAUGGCUUUUGUGGGUAUCCCAGGGCUGCGCCGGUUUGUGGGAAGGUGCGUUGAAUACGGAGCGCUCGGUCUAAUCAGUCGGUUGCAACCUGUAAGCAAACCACUAGAUGCCGCCAAAUCCUUCACGCGGUCCCUUCAGCAUCGGGUCACAUUGGCAGAGCGUUCACAAAUGAAGUGACAUAAGCACAGGCCGCAGCUUUUAUUUGGUUUUAUUCAUGGAUAACAAUUUUUGAUACUGCUUCUUCCAUUUAAGGAUGAAAUACUAAAAACAUAAAACACGGCUUGGUCAAAAUUCUGGUCAAACCCUUAAAGAAAUGCGCUGAAAUGUAAACUGGAAUGAAAAGGUGGAAUGUGUUUGGUGAAACUUUCUCGGGUGUAAAAGCGUAUUUAUUAUAUAUUGGAUUCUUGAGUG